Molecule: long non-coding RNA, 1911 nt
Organism: Nothobranchius furzeri (turquoise killifish)
Lineage: Eukaryota; Metazoa; Chordata; Actinopteri; Cyprinodontiformes; Nothobranchiidae
Source: RefSeq, a predicted model, not a curated record
CUCAAAACAAUAAGGUUCAGGUCCGCUUGUCUCCUCCAAAUAGACUUGGUCCCUUUCUUCUCGAGUGUCUGGGUAAGGAGGGGGAGAAACGUCCUCCACUUCUAAUAACUGCUCAGAGUGAAGGGAGCUAGCAUCGUCUAGUUAGCCGUCGUCUUCGUCACUGCCGCGGCUCCGCCCUCUCGGUCCUCCAGGCAACGCCUACCAAUGUUGCAGUUUUUAAAAUUGAUACGUGGGUGGGGUAAGACUCUGAGGCACACUUGACAUGCACUUUAAUAAUCAGGUGAUUGAUCUGUGAAAUAAAGAUGUCAUGAGUUAUGUGUUUAAUGAAUAAACAGGACUGCACCAGACAGACUGAUCUACAUUACCAUGGAAAGGCAUGACACAUUGUUUUCAACCAAUCAGAACUUUUGUCUGUCGUAGGGCAGAAUCUGGGUUGUUUAAUAAAAGUUGUCCAAUCCGGUUUACUAAGAUUUGUAAACAACUAGGGGAUAUAAAACAAGGCAACGCUAUUUUAUACUCAGUUCCAUUUUAACCUCAGUUCUGUUCAAUUGGAGGUCCUAAGGAUUUCCAUCGUCAUCAUUAAGAAAGUUACAGGCUGGCCAGCUGUACUUUCCUAUUUUAAGCUGAGAACUGUCAAGCUGGAAAUUUCUGUCGUUUGAACAACAAGACGACGGUUCCUUCACAAUAAGAGCUGAACCCGCCGAGAUCUGCUACUACUACCGGAGCUAUCCGUAGACUGGUUUGUCGUGCUGCACCACUGUUUCAUCAGCCCAGCACCAAAGGGGGUUCUAGGACCUGACACUCCUGAUCUGACCGCGGGAGACUCCAUAGGGUCACAGGGGGCUGGUGCCUAUCGCUAGCAGUCUCCAGGCAAACAGGUGGGGCACACCCUGGACAGGUUGCCAGUCCAUCACAGGGCAACACAGAGACACACAGGAAAAACAACCUGACAGUCAUGUUUUUGGACCGUGCGAGGAAGCCGGAGUACCAGGAGAGAACCCACACGUGCAAAGAGAGAACAUGCAAACUCUUCGCAGAAAGAUUCCACGAUUUGAACCUAGGAUGUUCUUGUUUUUAGGCUAACAGCACUAACCACUGUGCAGCUUUGUUUUUUGAACCAUUAAGGAUUUAUGUUGCCUUGUUUGGCUGCAAACCUUCACAAACGUACUUUCCUGUUGUUUACCUUAUUGAAACAAACACUCACACUUUCAAUCACAUCCUGCUUCUUUGUGGGUUCAGGGUUUUAACGAAGGAAUAAAGCUUUGCCUGGUUGUGUUAUUUUCAAAAUCAAUUGCUUUACAAACACUUCUCAUGACUUUUAGAAGUGCUUUUCCUCAUGCUGUACACUAGAUGGAGCUUGACACCUAAUCAUGGAUUCUGCAGAGAGAAAAGCUGAGCAGAUGAGUCACUUGCAAGAUAGAAACCUUCAUGGAGAUUUUGGAACAACAUGAUUGCUAAAGCUGGAAUCAUUGUCAUGCAAAUAUUGUGAAAAAACAAAGAGAAGAAGUCCAGAACUUAGAUUAGAUCGUUUAAGUAGGAGAACACUUUAUACAAACAAGACUGUUGAACCGUGAGAUCAGCCUUCACGGUGUUAAAUGUUCCUCUGAGACUGAAUCUGCACAGACAGACCUUAGAAAGGCAUCAUGACCUUCACACUCUGGGAUACUUCUGGGAAGUGCUGCACAAGUCUGCAAAAGGUGGAAAAGAUGCUUUUACUGUGAACAGGGAAGAAAUAUUAAACAGAAAGAGAAAGUCAUUCAUCAGAGAUCAUUUCAGCUGGAUUGGACCAUCUUUUUUGUCUUUGAUGCAAUGAAAAUUGCCACGAAAUGCUUUAAAACUGUGCACAUCUAAGGUGAUUGAUGAUGUUAGUUCACCAGUGCAACACCCUGCAAUAAAAAAUGAGUUUUCUUG